AACGAACGCUGGCGGCAGGCUUAACACAUGCAGGUCGAACGAGAUCUUCGGAUCUAGUGGCAGACGGGUGAGGAACACGUGGGAACAUCCCUUUCAGUUCGGAAUAACGUUGGGAAACUAACGCUAAUACCGGAUACGUCCUUCGGGAGAAAGAUUUAUCGCUGAAAGAUUGGCCCGCGUCUGAUUAGCUAGUUGGUGAGGUAAUGGCUCACCAAGGCUACGAUCAGUAGCUGAUCUGAGAGGAUGAUCAGCCACAUUGGGACUGAGACACGGCCCAAACUCCUACGGGAGGCAGCAGUGGGGAAUAUUGGACAAUGGGCGCAAGCCUGAUCCAGCCAUGCCGCGUGGGUGAUGACGGCCUUCGGGUUGUAAAGCUCUUUUGUCCGGGAAGAUAAUGACUGUACCGGAAGAAUAAGCCCCGGCAAACUUCGUGCCAGCCGCCGCGGUAA
Molecule: ribosomal RNA, 449 nt
Filed under: uncultured bacterium
Lineage: Bacteria
Description: partial 16S ribosomal RNA
Rfam family: Bacterial small subunit ribosomal RNA
Source: RNAcentral